CGGUAAUUCCAGCUCCAAUAGCGUAUACUAAAGUUGUUGCAGUUAAAAAGCUCGUAGUUGGAUUUCUGCGGGGACGGAGCGGCCGGUCGCAACUUGCGACUCGAGCUAGCGCUUUCCCCGCAUCCUGCCGCGAACCGUGCUACCAUUAGUUUGGUGGCGCUGGGGAUCGGCUCGAUUACUUUGAGAAAAAUAGAGUGUUCAAAGCAGGCCACACGCCUUGAAUAAGUUAGCAUGGAAUAAUGACUAAGGACUUUGGUUCUUUUCGUUGGUGUUCGGGACUGAAGUAAUGAUUGAUAGGGACAGUUGGGGCGGUCCGUAUUCCAAAGCGAGAGGUGAAAUUCUUAGACCUUCGGAAGACGAACAGCUGCGAAAGCGUUCCGCAAGGAUGUUCCCUUUGAUCAAGAACGAAAGUUGGGGGAUCGAAGACGAUCAGAUACCGUCGUAGUCUCAACUAUAAACUAUACCAGCUAGGGAUCGGCCAACGUUUAAUUAUUCGACUUGGUCGGCACCUUAUGAGAAAUCAAAGCAUCUGGGUUCCGGGGGGAGUAUGGUCGCAAGGCUGAAACUUAAAGGAAUUGACGGAAGGGCACCACCAGCCGUGGAGCCUGUGGCUUAAUUUGACUCAACACGGGAAAAUUUACCAGGUCCGGACAUAGUAAGGAUUGACAGAUUGAUAGCUCUUUCUUGAUUCUGUGGGGGGCGGGGCAUGGCCGUUUUUAGUCGGUGGAUGUGAUCUGUCUGCUUAAUUGCGUUAACGGACGAGACCCCAGCAUAUUAAAUAGCGCGGCCGAGCUUUGCUCGGUGCUAUCUUAUUAGACGGGACAUGAUACACGACAACACAAGGAAGUUCGGGACCACAUCAGGUAUGUGAUGACAUUAUAUGUUCUGGGCCCCACACGGGCUGCCCUGGCCCCCGCAAAGAUCAUAUCAGCCGAGACGAUAGGGUCUUGUCUAAUCUUUGGAACCGGCGCCGUGCUUGGGACUGACCAAUGCAAUUUCAGGUCACGCAGCGAGGAAUGCCUAGUAAACUC
RNAcentral lists this ribosomal RNA (1031 nucleotides) under uncultured Rhizaria. RNAcentral's name for it is "bacterial SSU rRNA". It matches the Rfam family "Eukaryotic small subunit ribosomal RNA", at positions 577 to 1624 of the family's 1831-position model. The record is from RNAcentral.